Pezoporus occidentalis (night parrot) is the source of this 1160-nucleotide long non-coding RNA. RefSeq lists it as uncharacterized. NCBI's taxonomy places the organism in Eukaryota, Metazoa, Chordata, Aves, Psittaciformes, Psittacidae. The transcript has 3 exons. The record is from RefSeq and is a predicted model, not a curated record.
UAGGAAUGUUUUGUGUGUAUGUUUUCAUGUACAAAUUCUUAUCUUCCAAUCAGCAGUGUGAAGUCUGUGAAGCCUAUUCCAAAUGUCAGUGUUAGUCUAACUUCAGGUACAUUAUUUGUUAACAAAUCAAGUUAGCUAUUUGUUAAAUAUUUGAUUCUGAGUUGGCAUUCCUUUUUUAAGUAAUCCUUCCUUUACUGAUAAGAUUCUCAGUCUCUUUAAAAACACAAAGCAGUAGAUCAGCAAAGUAAAUACAACCCAUUUUUUUCUAAUGUAACUUUCUUUCUUACAUGAUGCAUGCAAUUUCCUAUUUUCAAAAGGUCCUUGAAGCAUGGCUACGUAUGAUACCAGAAAAUGAUCUACUAAUGUGCCUUACUGCGUGUUGUUUACUUCAGAAUUUUAGGGAGCUUUUAUGUAACUUCAGCAUGCAUGUAAAGUUGAGAGUUGAAAUGAAUGGAGCUACCAAGUACUUAGUGUGAAAUAUUAGGCCACUUAGAUGUCUGAGUACAGGCUAUUUUUGAAAAUCUUUCAGCAUCCUUUGUUUCUCAGGUGAAAAUAUCUUCAACAAAAAAAGCUGACAAAUAUAUUCUGGUUCACAUGCUUGUGUAUUGGCGCAGCCUAAGAUUUAUUCUAUGAUUUCUUCUCUUUAAACAUUGAAAAAGACUUUCAGAUAUUCACAUCAGGCAACUGAGUAAGGAUACCUAGAAAGACUGAUAGAAAGGCCCAUCUCUAUGCAGCCUAUCCACAUGAAUUUCCCUUCAGUGAAAACUGGAGUUUGAAGGCAAAGCAUGAAGGCAGAAAGUGUGGUUAUUGGAGCUGAAUCCCUUCAGAGUUCACCACUGAUGUCGCUGAACAAAGUAGAUCUAAAUACAGCUGAACCAGAAAUAAGCUUCUCUCACCAGAGGAGAAGGAAGAGCAUGGUUUGUGUGAGACUUUUUGAAAACUGGAGUGGUCUUGUCUCUUCUGCUUUAUCUUGUUUAAAGAAGUCCCUAAAUGAGGCUGAUUUCAAGAGGUCCCUGCACAGAUGAGGAUGUGAUGUGUUCCUGAGAACACCUUUUCCUUCCCAGUCAGGGAGUUUGCAGCUGACAUAAUGGAAUGAUGUGGUGUCUAAAAGUAGAAUUGAAGACUCUUGCAAGUCGUCGUUGCCACCAUCAUUUUUUCUU